GAUCCUGGCUCAGGACGAACNCUGNCGGCGUGCUUAACACAUGCAAGUCGAACGAUGAUCCGGUGCUUGCACCGGGGAUUAGUGGCGAACGGGUGAGUAACACGUGAGUAACCUGCCCUUGACUCUGGGAUAAGCCUGGGAAACCGGGUCUAAUACCGGAUACGACCUGUCCACGGCCCAGACUCCUACGGGAGGCAGCAGUGGGGAAUAUUGCACAAUGGGCGAAAGCCUGAUGCAGCGACGCCGCGUGAGGGAUGACGGCCUUCGGGUUGUAAACCUCUUUCAGCAGGGAAGAAGCGAAAGUGACGGUACCUGCAGAAGAAGCGCCGGCUAACUACGUGCCAGCAGCCGCGGUAAUACGUAGGGCGCAAGCGUUGUCCGGAAUUAUUGGGCGUAAAGAGCUCGUAGGCGGUUUGUCGCGUCUGCUGUGAAAGCCCGGGGCUCAACCCCGGGUCUGCAGUGGGUACGGGCAGACUAGAGUGCAGUAGGGGAGACUGGAAUUCCUGGUGUAGCGAAAUGCGCAGAUAUCAGGAGGAACACCGAUGGCGAAGGCAGGUCUCUGGGCUGUAACUGACGCUGAGGAGCGAAAGCAUGGGGAGCGAACAGGAUUAGAUACCCUGGUAGUCCAUGCCGUAAACGUUGGGCACUAGGUGUGGGGGACAUUCCACGUUUUCCGCGCCGUAGCUAACGCAUUAAGUGCCCCGCCUGGGGAGUACGGCCGCAAGGCUAAAACUCAAAGGAAUUGACGGGGGCCCGCACAAGCGGCGGAGCAUGCGGAUUAAUUCGAUCAACGCGAAGAACCUUACCAAGGCUUGACAUGGACCGGACCGCCGCAGAAAUGCGGUUUCCCUUCGGGGCUGGUUUACAGGUGGUGCAUGGUUGUCGUCAGCUCGUGUCGUGAGAUGUUGGGUUAAGUCCCGCAACGAGCGCAACCCUCGUUCUAUGUUGCCAGCGCGUUAUGGCGGGGACUCAUAGGAGACUGCCGGGGUCAACUGGAGGAAGGUGGGGACGACGUCAAAUCAUCAUGCCCCUUAUGUCUUGGGCUUCACGCAUGCUACAAUGGCCGGUACAAAGGGUUGCGAUACUGUGAGGUGGAGCUAAUCCCAAAAAGCCGGUCUCAGUUCGGAUUGAGGUCUGCAACUCGACCUCAUGAAGUCGGAGUCGCUAGUAAUCGCAGAUCAGCAACGCUGCGGUGAAUACGUUCCCGGGCCUUGUACACACCGCCCGUCAAGUCACGAAAGUUGGUAACACCCGAAGCCGGUGGCCUAACCCCUUGUGGGAGGGAGCCGUCGAAGGUGGGACCGGCGAUUGGGACUAAGUCGUAACAAG
RNAcentral lists this ribosomal RNA (1329 nucleotides) under Crystallibacter crystallopoietes. RNAcentral describes it as "bacterial SSU rRNA". It matches the Rfam family "Bacterial small subunit ribosomal RNA". The record is from RNAcentral. Lineage: Bacteria; Bacillati; Actinomycetota; Actinomycetes; Micrococcales; Micrococcaceae.